CCUACGGGCGGCUGCAGUAAGGAAUAUUGGUCAAUGGACGAAAGUCUGAACCAGCCAUCCCGCGUGCAGGAUGAAAGCCCUAUGGGUUGUAAACUGCUUUUAGCAGAGAAGAAAAGCUUUCAUUAAUGAGAGUCUGACGGUAUCUGCAGAAUAAGCACCGGCUAACUCCGUGCCAGCAGCCGCGGUAAUACGGAGGGUGCGAGCGUUAUCCGGUAUAAAGGGUGCGAAGGGGUGGGAAGAAGUAAGUGGUGAAAUCUUGUCGCUUAACGAUAAAAGUGCCUAUGAUACUGGUAGUCUUGAAUUGGGUUGAGGUUAGCGGAAUGUGACAUGUAGCGGUGAAAUGCAUAGAUAUGUCAUGGAACACCAAUUGCGAAGGCAGCUAACUGGGCCUUGAUUGACGCUGAGGCACGAAAGCGUGGGUAGCGAACAGGAUUAGAUACCCCUGUAGUC
This 450-nucleotide ribosomal RNA is filed under the name uncultured bacterium. RNAcentral's name for it is "partial 16S ribosomal RNA". It matches the Rfam family "Bacterial small subunit ribosomal RNA", at positions 338 to 795 of the family's 1533-position model. The record is from RNAcentral.